GUUCUCGAUGCUCUAGAAUUACGCGGAAGAAGGGCUUACCUACUCUUGACAUCCAGAGAACUUUCCAGAGAUGGAUUGGUGCCUUCGGGAACUCUGAGACAGGUGCUGCAUGGCUGUCGUCAGCUCGUGUUGUGAAAUGUUGGGUUAAGUCCCGCAACGAGCGCAACCCUUAUCCUUGUUUGCCAGCGAGUAAUGUCGGGAACUCCAGGGAGACUGCCGGUGAUAAACCGGAGGAAGGUGGGGACGACGUCAAGUCAUCAUGGCCCUUACGAGUAGGGCUACACACGUGCUACAAUGGCGCAUACAGAGGGCGGCCAACUUGCGAAAGUGAGCGAAUCCCAAAAAGUGCGUCGUAGUCCGGAUUGGAGUCUGCAACUCGACUCCAUGAAGUCGGAAUCGCUAGUAAUCGUGGAUCAGAAUGCCACGGUGAAUACGUUCCCGGGUCUUGUA
This 450-nucleotide ribosomal RNA is filed under the name uncultured bacterium. Its description in RNAcentral is "bacterial SSU rRNA". It matches the Rfam family "Bacterial small subunit ribosomal RNA", at positions 944 to 1385 of the family's 1533-position model. The record is from RNAcentral.